AUGGGAAAGAAACCUGGAAAGGUAGGGAGGUAUGGAUAUGGACAAGCUAUGCCAAGGAGCAGGGCUUUGUCAUGGAGAGUGACUAGGUGCUUUUACAUAGGAAAGUCACCUGAUAAUAUUAAAACCUGUGAAAUAUCACUCUGGUGGAAGUGUGAAUGAAUUUGAAAGGGGUGUAACACUGUUCUACUUUGUUUACUCCUCAGUACCCUUGGCUGUGUACAUUUGAGUAAAGAGAGCACUAUAAAAUCAAAAACCAAUGAAAUGGUUUCCAGAACACAGAACUAUUAAGCUUAAGAAAAGGACAGAAGGAACUGAAGAGAGAGGAACUGUUUUGGAGCAUCACACUUCCACCUCAGAAGAAAUAAGGAAGGAAGGAGGAGGGUGUUCCCACGGCUCUUCAACCAGGCCGGCUCUUCAGCCUACAUCCCCAUCUCAUCAAGUAAAAGGGAUUUUUCAACUGGACCAACCAGAUGGUUUAACAGUGCACUCCCACACCAUUCAACUACGCAAGGGAGAUACACUUAACAUAUGCAGUCGUAUAACACCUACUAACAUUUUCAAACAUUAAACCUUUAAAAAAGAGUUCUAAAGAAAUAGAAGCUUGAAGUAUCAUCUCUCAAGUAUAUAGACACUACUUCAUGGUGUGGUAAUAUAUGCAUAUAGAAGCUAGUAAACACCUCCAGGAGAUGCAAAAGGAAUUAGAACUGCCACAAGGUGCAAGCAAAACCUUGAGCUUCUUUAAAAUAUGAAGACUUCGAAGUUAUUUAUCCAAACCAACCUGAUCAUUUCUUAAGAGUGAAUAUACCUUGGAAGACGUGUCCUGCCUUUAGUAGCGUCACAAUGGAUUACAUCCUCUAUAAAGCAGUCUGGGAGGCUAACAUCUGCCACAAGACAAAUAUGGUGCCUGCCCCCAUGGAGCUCAUAUUCGAAUGGAGAAAAUGUCAACAAGUAUCCCACGGAGUGAACACUUCAAAAGGAGAAGCACAGGUGAGAAAAUCGAAUUUGGACACCGUUGAGGAGACUAUUGCAGUCAUCCAAGCUCAAGAUGGUGGAGCUUCAUCCUUGAGAAUAACCAAUGGGGAUAGAUUUAAGAGACACUUAGAGUCUGCAGCCAACAGGGCUGAAUGAGCAGAGAGUUAUGAUUCAGAAGAUCAUCUAAAAUUGAACAGCUGCCACUACUGGCAAUAAGUCUACUGCCAUUUGGUAGAUAACCUUCUUAUCACACAGAAAAAUAUCAGUACAGACAAAUAGACCGCAAAGAAAAUGAGACCAUCAGCAAAGAAGAUAAAGAAGUUUGUACAAAGCAACUUUUUAUAAAUGGAUGGCUGUCAGGCAAAAAUAAAUUUCCUGUGGACAAGACCAAGAGCAAGGCAAGAGGAAAAUAAACAUGUUUAAACU
This 1398-nucleotide long non-coding RNA is filed under the name Homo sapiens (human). RNAcentral's name for it is "long intergenic non-protein coding RNA 343". The record is from RNAcentral. Lineage: Eukaryota; Metazoa; Chordata; Mammalia; Primates; Hominidae.